CAUUAACGAAGAAACAUAUCUUCAAACGGGACGUUUUUCGUCCGUCGACUUGGCCACGUGGUUGUUUGUGAUUGGCUUAGGGACAGCAUUAGGGACGAAAAAAAAACUUCUCUUGUUUCUCGUUUUUCCUCUUCUCUCUCUUUUUUUCGCCUCUGCAAUCGGAAGAGAUUUUUCUCUCAAAUCGGAACCAAUCGGUGAAGGAGUGAGAACGAAGGAGUCGAAGUUAACACCUUCGUCGUCACUGGAGGUCUCGGCUUCGUCGGUGCCGCCCUCUGCUUAGAGCUCGUUCGCCAUGGAGCUCGCUCGACCUCCGCGACUCUUCUCCUUGGUCCGAUGAUCUCAGAAUCAGUGGCGUUCUCUGCAUCCAAGGUUUCAAUCCCAUCGAUCCCUUUUUUCUAUCUAACCUUUGAAUUCCAUCGAUUUGAUCUCUUAAUUUCUUAAAUCUCAAAUCCUAUGAAUUAGUUGGUAGAUCACAAACAACGCUCUCUUGUCAAUUUUAGUGGAAUUGAUGGUGAUGAUGAUGAAACAGGGGAUUUGACUAAGAAAGUAGAUGUAGAUCGUUCAUUAGAUGGAGCGGACUGUGUUUUGCAUCUUGCUUCCUAUGGAUUCCCCUCUUUGGUGAAUUUACUUGCCAAAAUGCUAUCUUGGCUGAGCGGUUCAUUGAAGGAGGUAGCGCGUAUGUACCAAAAUAACUUAUGCUCGUAAUAAUCUUUAUGUAGGAUUCAUCUUGUUUAUCUUUAGAAUUGAAUUGUGAAACGUAUGGAUGGGAUUGUGUGUGAUAUGAAACAUAUGAUAUAGAGAUGAGAGAUCUUGAUUAUGUGUGAAGAAGACUCUCAACAGGUCGUAGAGGAGAUUCAUGAAAUAAAAGUGGUUGGUGUCAAGGAAUCAAUUUCACCAGAGAGAGAACCAUACUGCGCAAAACAAUUGAUUCCCCAAUCUAAGGCAUAGUGCCUGGUUUGUUUGAAGAUAGUAGGUAUAAGUCUGAAUCAAAGAAACCAUCUUUGAAGUCUGUUGAUAUCAUUGGAUUUGGAACUGGUCCUGCGCUAGAGAAGAAGCUGAAGUAUGAUGAUGAUGUUUCUUACGGUGUGAUUUUCGGGAGAGAACUCACUAACUCUCCUGCCAAUGUGCUUACUCUUGGUAUGGAUGGUCUCAAACACUAUCAUGUUUUAUGGUUUGUUGAGUUGUCCUAUUCUAUUUUAAUAUGCUUUUGUGUUUUGUAUGUUUAAAAGUUUAUGAAAUGUUUGUUUUUGUUUUGA
Non-coding RNA from Camelina sativa (false flax), 1256 nucleotides. The record is from RefSeq and is a predicted model, not a curated record. Lineage: Eukaryota; Viridiplantae; Streptophyta; Magnoliopsida; Brassicales; Brassicaceae.